UUUUCAAAAACAUGUCCUUUUGUAUAUAUCAAUAUAAGGUCUGACCUGCCCUAUGAUUUAACUAUUAAAUGGCCGCAGUAUCUUAACUGUGCGAAGGUAGCAUAAUCAUUUGUCUUUUAAUUGAGGACUAGUAUGAAUGGUUUGAUGAAGGAUAAACUUUCUUUAUUAUAUUGAAUAAUAAUUUAAUCUAUAAGUAAAAAAGCUUAUAUUAUAUUAAAAGACGAGAAGACCCUAUAGAGCUUUAAUUAUAUAACAUUCAUAUAAUAUUGAUUAUUAAUAAUAAGUAUGGAAAGUAAUUUUUGUUGGGGUGACAAUUAAAUUAAAUUAACUUUAAUUUAAAAAAUUAUCAUUAAUUAAUGAUUAAAAUUGAUCCAAUAUUAUUGAUUAAAAGAAUAAGCUACCUUAGGGAUAACAGCGUAAUUUUAUUGGAGAGUUCAUAUUAAUAAUAAAGUUUGCGACCUCGAUGUUGGAUUAAAAUAAGUUUUAGGCGCAGAAGCUUAAUAACUAAGUCUGUUCGACUUUUAAAUUUUUACAUGAUUAGUUUUC
Molecule: ribosomal RNA, 546 nt
Filed under: Gorpis japonicus
Lineage: Eukaryota; Metazoa; Arthropoda; Insecta; Hemiptera; Nabidae
Description: partial large subunit ribosomal RNA
Rfam family: Bacterial large subunit ribosomal RNA
Source: RNAcentral